Dipodomys ordii (Ord's kangaroo rat) is the source of this 72-nucleotide non-coding RNA. The record is from Rfam. NCBI's taxonomy places the organism in Eukaryota, Metazoa, Chordata, Mammalia, Rodentia, Heteromyidae.
GGAAGUUGGCUCAGUGGUAGAGUGCUUGCCUUGCAUGCAUGAGGCCCUGGGUUCGAUUCCUCAGCACCACCA